GGCGGCGUGCUUAACACAUGCAAGUCGAACGGUGAACACGGAGCUUGCUCUGUGGGAUCAGUGGCGAACGGGUGAGUAACACGUGAGCAACCUGCCCCUGACUCUGGGAUAAGCGCUGGAAACGGCGUCUAAUACUGGAUAUGUGACGUGACCGCAUGGUCUGCGUUUGGAAAGAUUUUUCGGUUGGGGAGGGGCUCGCGGCCUAUCAGCUUGUUGGUGAGGUAAUGGCUCACCAAGGCGUCGACGGGUAGCCGGCCUGAGAGGGUGACCGGCCACACUGGGACUGAGACACGGCCCAGACUCCUACGGGAGGCAGCAGUGGGGAAUAUUGCACAAUGGGCGAAAGCCUGAUGCAGCAACGCCGCGUGAGGGAUGACGGCCUUCGGGUUGUAAACCUCUUUUAGCAGGGAAGAAGCGAAAGUGACGGUACCUGCAGAAAAAGCGCCGGCUAACUACGUGCCAGCAGCCGCGGUAAUACGUAGGGCGCAAGCGUUAUCCGGAAUUAUUGGGCGUAAAGAGCUCGUAGGCGGUUUGUCGCGUCUGCUGUGAAAUCCCGAGGCUCAACCUCGGGCCUGCAGUGGGUACGGGCAGACUAGAGUGCGGUAGGGGAGAUUGGAAUUCCUGGUGUAGCGGUGGAAUGCGCAGAUAUCAGGAGGAACACCGAUGGCGAAGGCAGAUCUCUGGGCCGUAACUGACGCUGAGGAGCGAAAGGGUGGGGAGCAAACAGGCUUAGAUACCCUGGUAGUCCACCCCGUAAACGUUGGGAACUAGUUGUGGGGUCCAUUCCACGGAUUCCGUGACGCAGCUAACGCAUUAAGUUCCCCGCCUGGGGAGUACGGCCGCAAGGCUAAAACUCAAAGGAAUUGACGGGGACCCGCACAAGCGGCGGAGCAUGCGGAUUAAUUCGAUGCAACGCGAAGAACCUUACCAAGGCUUGACAUAUACGAGAACGGGCCAGAAAUGGUCAACU
RNAcentral lists this ribosomal RNA (970 nucleotides) under Microbacterium paraoxydans. Its description in RNAcentral is "bacterial SSU rRNA". It matches the Rfam family "Bacterial small subunit ribosomal RNA", at positions 38 to 1015 of the family's 1533-position model. The record is from RNAcentral. Lineage: Bacteria; Bacillati; Actinomycetota; Actinomycetes; Micrococcales; Microbacteriaceae.